Molecule: ribosomal RNA, 445 nt
Filed under: Paragymnopleurus striatus
Lineage: Eukaryota; Metazoa; Arthropoda; Insecta; Coleoptera; Scarabaeidae
Description: partial 16S ribosomal RNA
Source: RNAcentral
CAUGUCUUUUUGAUAAUAAUUUAAAGUCUGGCCUGCCCUAUGAAUUUUUAAAUGGCUGCGGUAUUUUGACCGUGCAAAGGUAGCAUAAUAAUUAGUUUUUUAAUUGAGAACUGGAAUGAAAGGUCGCACGAGAAAAAGGCUGUCUCAAUUUAAUUUAAAUUAGAAUUUUAUUUUUAAGUAAAAAAGCUUAAAUAUAAUUAAAAGACGAGAAGACCCUAUAGAGUUUAAUAUUUUUAUUUAUAUUUAAAAAUUAAAGUAUUUUAAAUUUAAUUAUAAAUGAAAUUAUUUAAUUGGGGCGAUUAAAAAAUUUAAUAAACUUUUUUUAUUAUUAAACAUUGAUUUAUGAUUAAUUGAUCCAUAAUGUUAUGAUUAUAAGAUUAAAUUACCUUAGGGAUAACAGCGUAAUUUUUUUUGAGAGUUCUUAUCGAAAAAAAAGUUUGCGACC